CUGCCUGACACGGGACUUGGCCUUUGGCAGAGGAACUAGUCACUUCCACCCCUUGUCCAGCAGAGAAGCAGAGGAAUAAAUACAUCAACCUCUUCUCCUCCCACCCCACUCCACUCAAACUCCUAUCGGUGCCUUCCACUGGCACCAGCCGGAAUGCAAGGGAGCCUGUUGAUGCAGCCCUUCCAGGCUCCCCGUGAAGACUGUCACCACCAGAGGUCCUGCUACGUCUCCAGCAACUUACCUUUGAUGUGGCUUUAAGAGAGGUGCCUUCUCUAGUUAACUACCAUUUGCAACACUGCAGGGAAGUCCCCCAAGUGUAGGCCUGUCUGCUCUACAGUGAACCUCUGAGAGCUGAGUUGCUCCGGGCCACCUGCCGAAUCUUCAUAUGGCACCCCUUCAACCUUGGGCGAUGGUGAAAUCACCGACUCUCAGCCUACUACACGAAGAACUUCAUUUUGGAUAAAACGCCCGUAUCCUGGCUGCUUCAUCCUGCAGGCGGCAGGAUUUGGUUCCCUGUGGUUCCAGAUGGUGCCGGAUUUCCCCAUGUUGAGAGCAUAGCUCUCAGUUUGAUGUGGCAGUGUUUGCUGUGGUUAUGUCUUUCAACACACUUCCUGCUUUUCUUACAAAACAGAGACUGCUCAUCCCUCUCUUGGAGGCCACAGCCCAAACGCUUACAGGUUUAUUAGAGGGCCAACUUGAGCAGGCCUUGGGCACGUGUUCGGCCCCUCAGUGUGUGGCCUUUUUCUCUGCGAACAUCAGGGUUAAUCUAUUGUGGACUUUACUUUCUGUUGGAGUGAAUGAUUGCAAUUCUGUGAAGGGAACAUGAGCUACCUUGGUUGAUAUUGCUAGGUAGCACACUACACCUGUGUCUUCAUUCA
This 878-nucleotide long non-coding RNA is filed under the name Equus caballus (horse). Its description in RNAcentral is "lncRNA (ENSECAG00000045116.1)". Lineage: Eukaryota; Metazoa; Chordata; Mammalia; Perissodactyla; Equidae. The record is from RNAcentral.